CAUAACACAAAAUAAUGUCAGUGGACCAUAACACAAAAUAAUGUCAGUGGACCAUAACACAAAAUAAUGUCAGUGGACCAUAACACAAAAUAAUGUCAGUGAACCAUAACACAAAAUAAUGUCAGUGGACCAUACCACAAAAUAAUGUCAGUGGACCAUAACACAAAAUAAUGUCAGUGGACCAUAACACAAAAUAAUGUCAGUGGACCGUAACACAAAAUGAUGUCAGUGGACCAUCACAUAAAAUAAUGUCAGUGGACCGUAACACAAAAUAAUGUCAGUGGACCGUAACACAAAGAUAUUGUCAGUGGACCGUAACACAAAGAUAUUGUCAGUGGACCAUCACACACAAAAAAAGAUGUGGGUGGACACAACAAUAAGUGAGGUCAAUGGACCAUGGCACAAAAUAAAGUCAAUGGAGACAAAAAGUAAAAUCUGUGGACAAAAGACAAGGUCAGUGGAACAUAACACAAGAAAAGGUCAGCGAACGCAAGGCAAACAAUGUCCGUGGACCAUCCCACAAAAUAAGAUUAGUGGACAGUCCGUGGACCAUCCCACAAAAAAAGAUUAGUGGACAGUCCGUGGACCAUCCCACAAAAUAAGAUUAGUGGACAGUCACACAAAGUAAUGCCUGUGGACUAUCAAACAAAAUAAGGUCGGUGACGGCAAGACAACACUAAGUCAGACGAAUGAUAUUCAAAUUAAGGUCAGUGGACAGUUACAUAAAAUAUGGCCAGUGGACAUAAAAUAUGGCCAGUGGACAUAAAACGAAAUAAAGGGAGUGGACGCAAGACAACAAGAUCAGUGGACGCAAGACAAAACAAGGUCAGUGGACCAUUACAACUAAUAAGGUCAGUGGACCAUUACAACUAAUAAGGUCAGUGGACCAUUACAAAUAAUAAUGUCAGUGAACCAUUACAACUACUAAGGUCAGUGAACCAUUGCAACUAAUAAGGUCAGUGAACCAUUACAACUAAUAAGGUCAGUGGACCAUUACAACUAAUAAGGUCAGUGAACCAUUACAACUAAUAAGGUCAGUGGACCAUUACAACUAAUAAGGUCAGUGGACCAUUGCAACUAAUAAGGUCAGUGAACCAUUACAAAUAAUAAGGUCAGUGAACCAUUGCAAAUAAUAAGGUCAGUGGACCAUUACAACUAAUAAGGUCAGUGGACCAUUGCAAAUAAUAAGGUCAGUGAACCAUUACAACUAAUAAGGUCAGUGAACAUAACACAAAACAAAUUCAGUUGACCCCUACAAUAAUGUCUGUGGGCCAAAAUACAACAUAAAGUCACUGGACCAUAACACAAAUUAAACUCAGUGGUCCAUUACUGUGAGGUUUUCUGAUUAUCAUAUAUGGACGUUUGUAGAUGAUCAUGAAGGUGGGAAUACAUAUUCAUAACAGUAACAUGAAAUAAGUACACUGUAUGUAGAAACAGUACCACCCAAACCUGGUACAUGUAAGUGUAUACUCCCACAAAACUACAAAACUGUUUGUAUAGGAGACUGAUUGAACUUACAUGGUUCCUAUAUACUCCACCAGACCACAUUAUCCAAGUUUCUUUUUGAGAAAUAUUGAAGAUUCUGUUGAUGUCUCAGUCCCCAGUUUUCAGGGGAAGAUGAUCCCGGAGCCUGGUGACAGUUUUAUUUUGUCAAUUUAUCAGCCACAUACCUUUAAAAAGUGUAGCUGCAUAUUGCUUAUCAUUUGCGAGCAUUCUGGUUUACAAUUAGGGUCCAGAUAGUGAUAUACCCUUUGAUUAUCAACCAUUUGCUCUGUGGAUUAUGACAUUUCUACAUACAAAGAGUUAAAAGAAAAUAAUGUAAAUAUUUUAAAUGACAUGUCCUCUGUAUGUAACCAAUACCAUACCGUCCACUCACACAAAAUAUCAUACGACAGUACUCCAUAAUCAUCAAAACUCAUAGUUAAAGCAGUUAAUGAAAAAAUAGAUUGGCAAAAAUAUAUUUUAAGUAGAACACAUCGUUAAAUUUAAUGGAAUAAAGCAGAAACUGCUACAUGUGUUUUCUAACUAACAUAAUGUUAAAUCAAUUGCAGGAAAAUAUACCACUAGAUGAAUGCUUGCUUACAAAACAUAUUACAUAAUGUAUUUAUUCAGCAAUGAGCCCAUGUAUAGUAAUAAGUGUACCAAUAUAAGUUGCCGUUCAAUAAGAAGUGCUAUUUUGUUGCGCCAUAAUUAAUCCAGCCUCUCCGAGUCAGAAGUUGCUCACUAUAUUUGGUCGGCCUCUGGGCUUACUGCGGGAUAAAUAUGGAAAUACUGACAAUUGACAAAGGAAGGUUGGUUGCUUUGUCAAAAAAAGGAAAUGGUUUCAAACAACUAUAUAAUAUCACCAGAGAGAAUUCAAGUCUAGCAAGUAUGUUUUUCACUUUAACAAGAUUUGUAUGGUGCUUGUACAGGUGAAAAUCAUUCAGUAUUCUGAACUUUUAAAACUACAUGUACUAUUUUUUUAAAUGGCUAUUCUAGUGGAAAAAAAAACCUGUCCACAGAACUGUCAGAUGGUACCCGUAAUAAAACCUAUUGACCUGAUGAUGGAUACUGUAAACAUUUCAUUUUAGCAGUAUUUUUAUUUUGGUGGUAUUCUUCUUUUAGCAGUUUUAGCUCUGAAAGCAUUCUGCUAAAUUAUGGUUUAGCAGUUCCUAUACUGUAAACAUACUAUUUUUGGCCAUUCUAAUUUUUGUGCAUUUCCAAAUUAUAACAAAUUAGCACAAUAAAGAAAUAGCACAUUCUCAUAUUUUCUGUAGGAAAAGCACAUAAUAUAUAAUGAAAUCUUAAUUUAGCCAAAUGCUUCAAGAGUGAAAAAUGCUAAAAUAUGACUACUGCUAAAAUAUGUACAAUUACAGUCUGCAUGUAUGUUUUCCAUGGAAAGCAUUGUGGGUGACAAAUUCAUCAUUGUGCUAAACUGUCCAAUAUGCAAGAAAAUGUUGAUGUGCCAAAAUCAACAUGUAUGAUAAUAUAGUAAAAUCAGCAUUAUGUCUAUAAAGUGCAAUAUUAUUUUUAUCUGUUGAAAUUAUUUGAGUCUUAAAUGUUACAAUGAAGUGUAUGUUAAUUCACAAUUAAUCACUUAUGUUAAAAUUGUCAUGGAAAUGUGUUUGAAUUAUAUCACAUACAUAAUAAUCCUUCACCACUUAAAGUCUAAAUCAGCAAAACCAAAGUAAAAGAAUCAACAUUUUGAGUAAAACAUGUUACAUAUUUACAGUCAGCAGACUCCAAUUAUUUUUAGACAAGUUUUAAAUAAUAUCACCACGUCUUUUUCAAAUCAUAGAACCACAACGUAAGCAAGGACACAAAAAUGUGCCAACACAUAGAUGUCACACUUAUCCAGCAGACAGCAUACACUUUUUUAUGUGAUGGUUCAGAGGGCAAUGGCCUAGAUAAAAGAUGACCUCUAUGACUAGGCAGACGACACACUAAUUAGGCAGACAAAAAGCAUCAUAUGUAAAACAACUGGAAAAUUCCAAGAACAAAAAAAAAAAAAAAA
This is a long non-coding RNA of Pecten maximus, 3493 nucleotides long. RefSeq lists it as uncharacterized. The transcript is spliced from 2 exons. Lineage: Eukaryota; Metazoa; Mollusca; Bivalvia; Pectinida; Pectinidae. The record is from RefSeq and is a predicted model, not a curated record.